RNAcentral lists this ribosomal RNA (791 nucleotides) under Sulfitobacter sp. AC164. RNAcentral's name for it is "bacterial SSU rRNA". It matches the Rfam family "Bacterial small subunit ribosomal RNA", at positions 96 to 923 of the family's 1533-position model. The record is from RNAcentral. Lineage: Bacteria; Pseudomonadati; Pseudomonadota; Alphaproteobacteria; Rhodobacterales; Roseobacteraceae.
CGGCGGACGGGUUAGUAACGCGUGGGAACAUACCCUUUUCUACGGAAUAGCCUCGGGAAACUGAGAGUAAUACCGUAUAAGCCCUUCGGGGGAAAGAUUUAUCGGGAAAGGAUUGGCCCGCGUUAGAUUAGAUAGUUGGUGGGGUAAUGGCCUACCAAGUCUACGAUCUAUAGCUGGUUUUAGAGGAUGAUCAGCAACACUGGGACUGAGACACGGCCCAGACUCCUACGGGAGGCAGCAGUGGGGAAUCUUAGACAAUGGGCGCAAGCCUGAUCUAGCCAUGCCGCGUGAGUGAUGAAGGUCUUAGGAUCGUAAAGCUCUUUCGCUAGGGAUGAUAAUGACAGUACCUAGUAAAGAAGCCCCGGCUAACUCCGUGCCAGCAGCCGCGGUAAUACGGAGGGGGCUAGCGUUGUUCGGAAUUACUGGGCGUAAAGCGUACGUAGGCGGAUCAGAAAGUAUGGGGUGAAAUCCCAGGGCUUAACCCUGGAACUGCCUCAUAAACUCCUGGUCUUGAGUUCGAGAGAGGUGAGUGGAAUUGCGAGUGUAGAGGUGAAAUUCGUAGAUAUUCGCAGGAACACCAGUGGCGAAGGCGGCUCACUGGCUCGAUACUGACGCUGAGGUACGAAAGUGUGGGGAGCAAACAGGAUUAGAUACCCUGGUAGUCCACACCGUAAACGAUGAAUGCCAGUCGUCGGGCAGUAUACUGUUCGGUGACACACCUAACGGAUUAAGCAUUCCGCCUGGGGAGUACGGUCGCAAGAUUAAAACUCAAAGGAAUUGACGGGGGCCCG